Molecule: long non-coding RNA, 3309 nt
Organism: Globicephala melas (long-finned pilot whale)
Lineage: Eukaryota; Metazoa; Chordata; Mammalia; Artiodactyla; Delphinidae
Source: RefSeq, a predicted model, not a curated record
GGAGGGCGACGGAAGUGGAAAUGCGGGGCGGGACCAGAUCCCCAGGCCGCGGCGGGAGCUGUAGUUCUCGUGCUGGUUGCUGCUUCAGAUCUCUGCCGCCUGAGGGGGACGCCGGUUCGCUGUGUGCUGGCCCCGAGUCGCGUUGUCCCUGGAGGAUAGUGGAGAGCGACUGGGUCGUGGUCCUCCUGGCUUUCUUACCGUCACUUUUGUUCUUUACGUCCUGUCUCCGGUUUAGCACCGUGAGGUGCGGCAGGGGUUACUAUUACAGUUAGCCUUAUCAUCCCUCCGGCAUUUUGUGUGAUAAACACUCUGCAGCCACUUCUGCUGACCGAGACAAGUCAAUUUUUGGUCUUUGCGCCUUUGCUAAGAUCCUUUGCGGUGUCUCUCACGUGUGGCGUCUUAGCCGUGUGUGGAAGUCCUACCCGUUCAUAGAACUCGGUUCAGAGGCUCCUGUGACUCCUGGACUCAACCUUUUCAGCUGGAACCGUUCCGUCCUCCCAGUGCCCGCUGGCUGCUCGCACCUGGCUUUAGUCUGGUUUGUUUCUGCUUUGAUUCCUCGUUGCAUUUGCGUGUGCCUCCCAACGUCUCCUCGGAUGGCGACUGGAUUUUGAUUCCUCUUUGUGUUCACCAGAGCUAGAACAGCGUUUUGAAUCGAAUAAUAAUAGAAGCUGACACUGUGAGAAACCCGGCACUGUUGGGAGAGGUUCAGACCUCUGAAGAAAGGAUGUGGUUCCUGCCACAGGAACAUGCAGCCCACUGAUGAGUUGCUUCUUUCUUUUGAACUUCUGGCCAUCAUGGUGUAACUGGGACUGGAUUUAUUUUCUCAUCUGAAACAACUGGAAAACGAAAAUAUAUGAAACAGCGGUUUUCAGAUACUGGACAACAGGCAGUACAGGACAGUGAUUCCUGAGAGAAGGAAAAUAAGUAGACAAAGGCUGAGAAGAAAUGGAUAAACAUUUGGGGAAAGGAUGAGGAGAAAUCAAAUACAAGGAGGAAAAAGGGAAGCAAGAGCAAGAAAAUACUUUUCACAAAACAAGAUACGAAGAGUAUUUGGGAUUUAAGACCAAAUGAAGAUUAUGAGGCCUCUCACCGCUGUGGCCUCUCCCAUUGCGGAGCGCAGGCUCCGGACGCGCAGGCUCAGCGGCCAUGGCUCACGGGCCCAGCCGCUCCACGGCAUGCGGGACCCUCCCAGACCGGGGCACGAACCCGCGUCCCCUGCAUCGGCAGGCGGACUCUCAACCACUGCGCCACCAGGGAAGCCCUAAUAUUAAACUUUUAAUGUUCACAUGAGUAGAAAGGAAAUUGAUAUACUUAUAGAGAUAAUUUCAUUCUGUUUUUAAACCUUUUCAACAGUAAUUAUUUUACAUGUGUAAUAUUUAUAAAUGAAUGAAAUGAAUGAAGAAAAAAAACUUGCUUAAUAAUCCCCAAAGUUCCAGUCCUGGCUCUGUUGUUAUUAGUAGAUCUGCUACUAUUAGUGACCUUGGAGAAGUCACUUGACCUCUCUAUGUCCCAUUAUCCUCAACUAUAAUAUGGAAGCAUUAAAAUAAAUAUUUUUUUCCAUAUAUAAUAUUUUGUGAACCUUAAGAACUGACCAUCAGCAAUAUAAUGGACUUACCUUUAGGAAGCUAUACAUAUCUUUUUCAUUUGUAUUUGAUACUGGGGAAUACAUGAUCCCACUGAUAUAGACAUUAUGGUGACUGAUGCAGUCUUCAUUGUCUUCCUUCUGUUGAUUUAAACGGUCAGGGAAACCAUUGAGGUCCUUUACUGGUAGCAGGUUAUAAACCUGUACAAAUGCAAAGGGAGAAAGGACAAACUUACUUGUGGCUUAUUUUUCUUAAGUGCAGGGAGAAAAGAAAAGAAUAAUCACUACCAGACUUUCUUUGAGUGGCUCCAUUGCCUAGAUAAUUUACAGAGAAGAUGAUUUUGAAAACGUUUAACAAUUUUAGGGAAAAAAACAAUUAAAACAUUCCUAUCUAAGUACUCAGGAUCAUAAUCUUUUGUUAUGCAAUUCAGAGGCAAACCCUAGACUCUGCUGGAAUGAAAUAAAACUUAAUUAAGAGAAAUUGAGGUUUGCUAUAUUUGAGACAUUGUGCAACGCUUCAGGAUGACAGAAUUAGGUAAUAGUUUCGUCUCUAUCUGGUGGUUAGCAACUGACUCAGUGUUUAACAAAGUAAAUGGACAACAUGUUCUAAACAGGCACAUGGAUAAGCAUGUAUCCUCUGUAUAGGUCAGGACAGUAUUUUCUUAGUAUUACUCAUGGGAACUAAAUGCUCCAUAUCUUUAUAAAAUACAUAAAACUUUGUAGAAUACUGAAAAUGAUACUUUCAAAUUCACUUCAACGGGAAGAAUAAGACAAACAUAAAAAUUCUGUAGGUGUUUUAUAUUUAUAGGAGUUCAAAACUGUUUGAUAAGAAUAGAUUAGCAAAGUGAGUAGCACAAUGAAAUGAAGCACUUUCUCAAAGGCAGCUCCUUCUUAGCAUUCUCCAUCUCCUCCCUCUGCUUUAUUUUUCUCCAAAGCAUAUCACAUAAUUAUUGUCUGUCUCACCUAUUAAGUUCUAUGAGUGCAUGGAUUUUUUUCUUUCUAGUAGUUCACUAUGAGAUCCCCAGAAUUUAGGACACACCCAGAACACAGUAGGCACUAAAUAAAUGUGUUGAAUGAGUGACUUAUGCUACUAGGUGCAAGUGUUUCAUUAAUGAAACAUUAUCAAAGAUUGAGAGGAACCCUUGUUCUAACCCAGGUCUACUACUAGAUACAUGAAAGCUUCUGCUUUAUUAUUAACAAACUAAUAGAAUUUUCUGCCUUAUCUAUCCACUAGGAUUGUUAUAAUUGAAAACAACUUUGAGAACUAUAAAAUUAUGUUAUACAAACAUAAAACAUUAAUGUUAGCGUUCCACAUAUUCCCUUGCUUCCACUAUGCACUUAAUAUCUCCUUUAGAAGUAUUCUAAUAUUUUUAAUUAAAUACUAUUGGAAGGACCAGAAAGUAAGAGAUCUUUUCUUUUAAGUUUCUCUUGUAGGGAAGUAAAAACGUAACUUUCCCUUUAUAAAAUUUUGGUAGUGAAAAAAAACUUCAGUAAGAGGUUAUUCCAAUUGCCCUCAUUGAAAAUUUGAAGUAAUGGGCAAACUACUAUUAGGACACAUUAAGUAGUUUCCCGUUGUUAUACUAAGCAUACCCUUUGGCUAUUUUUCCUGUUAACCCUGUAUUUGAAAAGGUUUCAUUUAUUAAUGUCAUUUAUCACAUGGUAAUUAAUUUUUCCUAAUUUUUAUUAAUCAGAGACAAUACAGAUCUUCCUUCAGAAACUGUGUUCAU